Molecule: unclassified non-coding RNA, 216 nt
Filed under: Bombus terrestris (buff-tailed bumblebee)
Lineage: Eukaryota; Metazoa; Arthropoda; Insecta; Hymenoptera; Apidae
Description: misc RNA ENSBTSG00005022394.1
Source: RNAcentral
GCCGGAUACACUCUUUAAAACAAAAUCCCGCCUCGUAAAGUUCCUUCAUUAAACGUCGAAGGUGGCCCAUAAAAUCGGUGAUUCCGAGAGGUGUUCGCGCGAGAAGAGAGAGAAGGCGCCAGGUCGUGGAAGAAUGAACGGAGGGAAGAGCUGCCUGCCGGAGACCAGGUAUAAUGGCGUAAUUAUGAUACCGAUGUAGUAUGCAACAUCGUACAG